UAACCUACCCAUCAGAGGGGGAUAACACUUGGAAACAGGUGCUAAUACCGCAUAACAGUUUAUGCCGCAUGGCAUAAGAGUGAAAGGCGCUUUCGGGUGUGCUGAUGGAUGGACCCGCGGUGCAUUAGCUAGUUGGUGAGGUAACGGCUCACCAAGGCCACGAUGCAUAGCCGACCUGAGAGGGUGAUCGGCCACACUGGGACUGAGACACGGCCCAG
RNAcentral lists this ribosomal RNA (218 nucleotides) under uncultured bacterium. Its description in RNAcentral is "partial 16S ribosomal RNA". It matches the Rfam family "Bacterial small subunit ribosomal RNA", at positions 122 to 334 of the family's 1533-position model. The record is from RNAcentral.